GAUUGAAGGUUGUUGCCUUGUGAUUUCUUAAGUGAACUUUUGGACACCUCCUCCUCAUACUCAGCUGUUCCCUGCCAGCUCCUCCUUCAAUCAGCACCAUAGUGUUGGCUACAGCAUCAUUAACUCAAACCAGUACGUUUAGUUCACUUCCCUUCACAUCUGUUUGUUCACUUGUAGCAUGUAGCAGGUUUGUAACAGUCUAGUAGAAGAACUUCAUUUGUUUAUUCAGAAAACAGGGGUGCUGCUACACAUGCAGGCAAUACAACUUUCCCUGUACCCGAAGAAAGAUGCAAAUAACAUUAGUACUCAACGCUCAAGCACUGUGUGACUGUCCUCUGCUCAUCUGCUUUCUGGUAAGUUUUUAUUUUCAAAAUUUCUGAAUAGUGGAAAAUAUCAUUAACUUAAUCACUUUGUUUUCUGCAAAUAUACCAAGCAUUCAUAUUCUGUAGUUCUUAAUCCUAGCCCUGGAGUACAAUUAUCUUGCUUAUUUCCUGAUAAUCAGUUAAUGCUGAUAAUCACAACAUUUUUUUAUU
Molecule: long non-coding RNA, 533 nt
Organism: Astyanax mexicanus (Mexican tetra)
Lineage: Eukaryota; Metazoa; Chordata; Actinopteri; Characiformes; Acestrorhamphidae
Exons: 3
Source: RefSeq, a predicted model, not a curated record